CCUACGGGGGGCUGCAGUGGGGAAUAUUGGACAAUGGGGGCAACCCUGAUCCAGCCAUGCCGCGUGUGUGAAGAAGGCUCUCGGGUUGUAAAGCACUUUCAGUGAGGAAGAACGCCUGGUGGUUAAUACCCAUCAGGAAAGACAUCACUCACAGAAGAAGCACCGGCUAACUCCGUGCCAGCAGCCGCGGUAAUACGGAGGGUGCGAGCGUUAAUCGGAAUUACUGGGCGUAAAGCGCGCGUAGGUGGCUUGAUAAGCCGGUUGUGAAAGCCCCGGGCUCAACCUGGGAACGGCAUCCGGAACUGUCAAGCUAGAGUGCAGGAGAGGAAGGUAGAAUUCCCGGUGUAGCGGUGAAAUGCGUAGAGAUCGGGAGGAAUACCAGUGGCGAAGGCGGCCUUCUGGACUGACACUGACACUGAGGUGCGAAAGCGUGGGUAGCAAACAGGAUUAGAUACCCCGGUAGUC
RNAcentral lists this ribosomal RNA (465 nucleotides) under Vreelandella stevensii. RNAcentral's name for it is "partial 16S ribosomal RNA". It matches the Rfam family "Bacterial small subunit ribosomal RNA", at positions 338 to 795 of the family's 1533-position model. Lineage: Bacteria; Pseudomonadati; Pseudomonadota; Gammaproteobacteria; Oceanospirillales; Halomonadaceae. The record is from RNAcentral.